CCUUCGAUAGCUCAGUUGGUAGAGCGGUGGACUGUAGAAUGUGUGUAAGGAGAUCGGUGCAUAACAAGUAAUGUACUCCAUGAUCAUCUCUUAAAGCAAUAGAAAUCCAUAGGUCACUGGUUCAAAUCCGGUUCGAAGGA
Molecule: non-coding RNA, 140 nt
Organism: Anopheles dirus
Lineage: Eukaryota; Metazoa; Arthropoda; Insecta; Diptera; Culicidae
Source: Rfam